This is a non-coding RNA of Triticum aestivum (bread wheat), 135 nucleotides long. NCBI's taxonomy places the organism in Eukaryota, Viridiplantae, Streptophyta, Magnoliopsida, Poales, Poaceae. The record is from Rfam.
UGGGCCUUCCCUCUCUCCGGAAAUACUUGUCAUCAAAAUGGAGAAAAGGUGAUGUAUCUAGACGUAUUUUAGUUCUAGAUAAAUCUCUUUUUAUCCAUUUUGAUGACAAGUAUUUUUGAACGAAGGGAGUAUGAU